Molecule: long non-coding RNA, 1618 nt
Organism: Dalotia coriaria
Lineage: Eukaryota; Metazoa; Arthropoda; Insecta; Coleoptera; Staphylinidae
Exons: 2
Source: RefSeq, a predicted model, not a curated record
GGAGAUGUUCGGUAUGUGAUAAACGCGGAUUGAACAUACGCAAAGUUACUUCUGCAUGAGUGAUGUACCGUUAGCCGUCGGAUACUCCUCGAUAAAUUUCACCAGUGAAAUGCCGCUAACAACUUCAACAAUUAUAUCAAGUAUAUGCCGUGCCUUAGAGUCCGAUGUGAUCUGCAUUGGUAAGUUUAUAAUUCAAUUAUAUUUUUCAUUUUAAUUCCUGCGUCGUACAUAAGUUUUUAUUUACGUAGUUUUUUUUGCGUUCCACCGCGUGUUACAAAGACACAAGACAGUCGCGUUUCAAUCCGCUACUCUCUUUUAGUAUCUCUUUUAGUUUUCGAUAUAUUCACAAUCGGAGAAAACUCUCAAAGAAAUGAAAAAAAUCGCUUUUUUGCACUUUUAUACACGAUUUUAGAACCUUUACACUCCGUAUUUUAAUUAUUUUCUUAUCUUAUCUCAUAGAGACUUUUCCAAACUUUCAUAAUCUUCGAUCGACUGGCCGCUAGCGCUUUUAGUUUAAAAGAUAUGUCCUAAAUUAUCAAAAAGCAGAUAUCGCACCCCCCUUGCCAUUUUUUCGCAAUGGGAAUCACUUCUACCGUUACUCCCUACGGUGCCCUGAACUCGAGUCACCUUAACCGCUAGCCUCGUACUGUGCCCUGAACACGAGUCACUGUUGCCGCUAGCCUCGUACGGUGCCCUGAACACAAGUCACUUUUACCGCCAGCCUCGUAAGGUGCCCUAAACACGAGUCACUGUUAGCGCUAGCCUCGUACGGUACUCUAUUUAUUGCAAGAAAAUUCCGUAACGCGAGGUUUAAUGAUAGUUGUGUGUAUACGCACUUGUACUCCUUGCGCUAGGAAUUGUAGUUUUUUUUAGCAUAACACGCGAACGCGGUCUUAAACUAAGUUCGGAAUAAUUUUCCCAGAUGCAUAAUUUAAUUCUUUAUUUCCCUGUAUCAAAAUUUAUUGCGAGAAAAUUCCGUAACGCGAGUUAUAUUGAAAGUUGUGUGUAUACGCGCUAGUACUCGUUGCGCUAAGAAUUAUAGUUUUUUUGAUAUAACACGCGAACGCGGUAUCACAAUAAGUUUGAAAUAAUUUUCCCAGAUGCAGAAUUCAAUUUUGUAUCUGCCUGUAUCGAAAUUUAUUGCGAGAAAAUUCCGUAACGCUAGUUAUAUUUAAAGUUGUGUGUGUGCGCCGCAGUACUCGUUGCGUUGGGAAUUGUAGUUUUUUGACAUAACACGCAAUCGCGGGGUCGCAAUAAGUUCGGAAUAAUAAUCCCAGAUGCAGAAUUAAAUUAUGUAUCUCCCUGUAUCGAAAUUUUCACUGACACAAAAGAAAACAUAUACAGGGUCGAAUGAAAACGAGCGGCGUUUGUAGUGUUCAGAGUUUUUUUGUUUGCACUUUAAAUUUUUCUUUUGUAACACCCUGUUUAUUUGUUUCCAUUUUCAAUCACCUAGUAAAUUGGCUAUUUACUAAUUUCAUUAUUCCGGUAGAACUUUAUGAAGUAGUACUUGCUGGCAUGCAGGUCGUAUUUCAGUCCUGUUUCAAUAUGGCGACAUGAAUUCUGUUGACUUGUAAAAUCUAAACUUGUAUUCUAUUGUUAAUAAAGAAAUGUUAAGAAA